CCUACGGGAGGCAGCAGUGAGGAAUAUUGGUCAAUGGCCGAGAGGCUGAACCAGCCAAGUCGCGUGAGGGAAGAAUGUCCUAUGGAUUGUAAACCUCUUUUGUCAGGGAGCAAAGUCACCCACGUGUGGGUUUUGGAGAGUACCCGAAGAAAAGGCAUCGGCUAACUCCGUGCCAGCAGCCGCGGUAAUACGGAGGAUGCGAGCGUUAUCCGGAUUUAUUGGGUUUAAAGGGUGCGUAGGCGGGUUAUCAAGUCAGCGGUAAAAUCGUGGAGCCAAACCCCAUCCAGCCGUUGAAACUGGUGAUCUUGAGUGCGCGAGAAGUAUCCGGAAUGCGUGGUGUAGCGGUGAAAUGCAUAGAUAUCACGCAGAACUCCGAUCGCGAAGGCAGGAUACCGGCGCCCGACUGACGCUGAGGCACGAAAGCGUGGGUAUCGAACAGGAUUAGAUACCCGGGUAGUC
RNAcentral lists this ribosomal RNA (459 nucleotides) under uncultured bacterium. Its description in RNAcentral is "partial 16S ribosomal RNA". It matches the Rfam family "Bacterial small subunit ribosomal RNA", at positions 338 to 795 of the family's 1533-position model. The record is from RNAcentral.